Molecule: ribosomal RNA, 258 nt
Filed under: uncultured Glomeraceae
Lineage: Eukaryota; Fungi; Glomeromycota; Glomeromycetes; Glomerales; Glomeraceae
Description: partial small subunit ribosomal RNA
Rfam family: Eukaryotic small subunit ribosomal RNA
Source: RNAcentral
AAGCUCGUAGUUGAAUUUCGGGAUCACUAUAUUGGUCGUGUCUUUGGUAUGAACUGGUAUUAUUGAUUUCUACCUUCUGACGAACUGUGAUGUCAUUAAUUUGGUGUCAUGGGGAAUCAGGACUGUUACUUUGAAAAAAUUAGAGUGUUUAAAGCAGGCUAGCGCCUGAAUACAUUAGCAUGGAAUAAUGAAAUAGGACGUUCGAACCUAUUUUGUUGGUUUCUAGGUACAACGUAAUGAUUAAUAGGGAUAGUUGGG